GCCAGUUUCAGAAUAUUUCCUUGGCAAUGACAUGGACAGAGAGGGACUAGUUUUGAUGGCAAAGCACAUUUCCAACUUUCAGCAGCAAAUCAGGACAGGACAUUUUAUAUGAAGCAAGAAAGAAUUACCCAGCAUGUCAAGAGAAGGUGCCAAAUCUCGCCACCUCUGCCAAGUUCAUGGGCUGAAGGGAGAAUGCAAUGACCCUGAACAGAGGCAAGCAGGGGAGACUAGCUAUUGUUCCUGGAGCACAAUGCCUGCCAGAAUCAAAACAGACAGAGAUGAACAAAUGCUAAUUUCUCCUUUUCCGCCAUGAGACACCAGAGUAAAAAAUGCUAAUGGCAUCUGCCAGGGCCUGAGAUAAAAAGUCUGUGUGUUUGUGUGUGCUUAUGUGGUUGGGUUUGAACUGCAAGAUAAGCCGGCAAACAAGGUAAUUAAAAUAAUUAAAAUGCUAAUCAAAGGGGGGCAUCGAGCAGAAUGAUACACAGACAGUGAGGGGGUAGGGAAGGUGAAAUGUUGGAAGAGGAGGGCAAA
RNAcentral lists this long non-coding RNA (531 nucleotides) under Pogona vitticeps (central bearded dragon). RNAcentral describes it as "lncRNA (ENSPVIG00000009232.1)". The record is from RNAcentral. Lineage: Eukaryota; Metazoa; Chordata; Lepidosauria; Squamata; Agamidae.